Molecule: long non-coding RNA, 11086 nt
Filed under: Marmota monax (woodchuck)
Lineage: Eukaryota; Metazoa; Chordata; Mammalia; Rodentia; Sciuridae
Source: RNAcentral
UUUGCAGCCUGCCCCUUGGCCUACCAGCUGGUGGAUCUGUACCACUGGCUGGUGAACAAAUGUUCCAUCUCUUGCUUUAAGAUCGACUCAGUGAUUUAUUGCAAUCUCGCCAUAACACUAGUAAGUAUAAACUACCAUCUUGUGGAUUUGAUUUUCAUUUCCCUGAUGUCUGAUAAUUCCUUAUUUUCUUCCUUGUGUGGUUAUACCAUUAACAUACAAGGUGGAUCUUAUAAUCUUUUGCCCUCAGGGGAGCUCAUUGACAGACCUGUUAAAGUAGUGAUUAGAAUACAUCACUAGUUCAAUUGUAUAAAUAAAAACAGGGAAAUCCAGCAGGAGAAAAGCGGAAGAGGCUCAUUCUAACUGGGAAGCGAAAGACUUUAAAGAGGGCUGAAUCCCAGGGAUAGCUUGGAGGGGUGGAGUAGAUGCUUUGUGAAGGCAGAAAAGCUUCAAAGAGCUUACAUGAGCAAUGAGAUCCAUCUUCUCUCCUCUAUGUUCACUAUUCUUGCUACACUGUUUGUAAGUCACUUAUGAAAGUGAGUCUUUUUUCCUGUACCACCAGUUUUCAUUUUUUUUUCUAAGAAUACAGGAGGUCAGUGAAGGACUGGCAGAGACUUCAAAUUUUCUGUGGUCGAGUUGGCACGUCCAUAAGUGACAGCAUAAUAAAACAAAACAUUGAGUGCCAUAAUGCCUCUAAUGUCUUACACUAUAUGUCAAGUUGUUCCCGUUGGGGGUAUAAUUACAUAAUGAUCCUCUAGAUUUAUUUUGCUGGCAUCUGACCAUAAUGAAGUUUAUCUUAGCCCAUUUUCAUUUCCUUAAUCAGCUUCCAAAUUUUUGUUAGGUAAGUCACAAGUUAACUGGCAUGUCUACAAGAAGAAGAGUAGGGUAGAUUUGUUCCAAGUCUGCUUAUGACCGGCUUGGCUGGGGGAUAUCUUUAUCUGGUCAGGUGCAAUCUUGUCUAUCUUUCUCAAGGGAUCUGUCCAGGAGCCAGGUCUGGACCACUCAGUCCUGAGUUCAUUUUGUCACCAUCCCAGUUGCCUAGGGGUGACAUGAAGAGAUCUGAUUCCUGGUCUGGUUUCUGAGCCUUGCUCCUGGGACCAGCUAUAGGCAUGUUUCCAGUUUCUGGUGGUUCUCUGCUCAGUUUAAAGCAGGUAUUAUUGGGAUGGUUGUCAAUUCUCAGUUCCUCUGGCUCUGCUGGCCCCUUCAACCACCAAAAUCUCUUCAUUUAUUCCACAAAUUCGUUUUCAAGUUCUUCUAGGAUGGUAUCUGCUAAUUCCUAAUGCAGACACUAUCCUCAACCAGAAGGAUGUGGAAUCUCUUUUAUACCUUAGGUUCGUCGUAACCCCAGACUUUAUAAAUGCUUUGAUAAGAUUGUUCCAUUCAAAUAUAUCUUCACUGGAGGUGACCCCCAAAAGCUCAUAAACCAGUAAUUAAAAUGGAAUGGGGCCGGGAGCUAGAAGUGUUUGGGGACAGGAGACUUAAUGAUUUACUUCUCUGUACUGUGAUUUUUGUUGUUGUUGUUAUUUCUUUACUAAGUGUGUGUGUGUGUGUGUGAAAAUGAAAAAAAAUCGUUUCACUCUGAAUGCUUAGCCUUUCCUUCAGAUCAGGUUGACAUAGACUCUGGGUGACUUUUAUCAAGGUCAGCAGCACUUGCCCUGUUCUAAGUUCUUUUCCCUGCAGAUGUCAGAGGGGAAAAAGUACCGAGGAGGACAUCCCCUUACUGGAAUUACAAACACUGAGUGUUUCCAUGUCUUGGUUAUUGUGAGUAAUACUGCAAUAAAGAGUACAGGUAUCUCAGACUGGGGCUGGGGCUCAGCAGUAGAGCGCUCACCUAGCACGGACGAUGUGCUGGGUUGAUCUUCAGCACCACAUAAAAAUAAAUAAAUAAAAUAAAGGUAUUGUGUCCAACUACAACUAAAAAAAAAGUAUUAAAAAAAAAAAGAAUACAGGUAUCUCUUAUGGAUUCUUCCUUCCUUUCUCUCCCUUUCCCUUCCCCCCUCCCCUUUUGAAAGUACUGGGCUUUAACCCAGGGGUGCUCUACCACUGAGCUACAUCUUCGGCCUUUUUUUACUUCUUCUUUUGAGAUGGGAUGUCGCUAAGUUGCCCAGGCUGCCCUGAAACUCCUGAUCCCCUGGUCUCAGCCUCCCAAAUCACUAGGAUUACAGGCGAGUGCCACGAUGCUCAGCUCAAUACUUACUUCAUUUCUUUUGGAUUUAUACGCAGAAGUGAGGUUGCUUGGUCAUAUGGUAGUACUAUUUUAAAUUUUUUGAGGAACUACCAGAUUCUUUGCUGCCAGAGUGUUUGCAGCAAUUUGAAUUUUCUAUCAACAUUAUAUACAAAGGUCCCCUUUUCUCCAUGGAGAUCAUUCAAUUUUUAAAAUAUCAAUUUUGAAAAAGUAAAACUGUAUGUUUUAUUAAAUAAAAAUAUUUCAAGAAAUGUCUGAUAUUUCAAGUAAUGUCCCCAGGACAUUUGAAAGCCUUUGGUUUCCUCUGCACGACCUGAGCUUCUAGAUCUGCACCACAAGGGGGUGCCAUUGGAUUUUGAAUGAGUCACAUCACCAGCAUUUGGGUUUCCUUUGCCAAGAGAAGACACCACCUCUCUUAAUCAGCGGGGGAAGGCUGGGGGUGGGGGCACGAAAAGAUACAGCUGUGAGAUUGAGAGGGUCGUGGGAGACUGCCUUUUAUUUUCCUAAAUCUGAAAGAAGGUUAGGGGAAGGUGAGACCAAGAAAUCCUUGUUGUAAUCAUUACAUUUCUAAAACCAGAAAAAAGUAUUCAGUGCUUGAUUCUUGGGGCCUAAGUCUCUUUUCAUAAUCAGAGUGGAAGAGGAAGGAAGUGGAGUGGAAGGAAGUUUAGAAGUCAGCUUUCUUGGCUCACCCUCUCCUCAAAGAAUCUCACAAAAAACCCAGGAAAUUGCAUGAAAAAAAAAAUCUUUUUUUUUUUUUUUUGGCUAAAUUUUGAAUAUAAUUCCUGGAGACUUUCAGACCCAGGUUAAAGACCCUUUGUUGAUUGAAUUCAAUGAGCCUAUUUUACCCAGGAAACACAAUUCAGAGAAAGCUUGAGUAGGGAUAACUCAAACCCAUGGCUUCACUCCUGCUCUGGGGCUCUUUCUAACAAAACUGGACUCUCAGCUGCAUUUGGACUUUUCUCACAUCUGCAACCAGUAAGGAGCCAGCUGCCCCAAAUCAUCUGGAAAAGCUGAGUGAUGCCUGUCGGGGAAGGACCUCUGAACUGAACUCUGGUGUUCCACAGAACAGUGAGGAGGUAGCAGGUGCGUCCCCAACCCCUCUCCUCACAGAGUCAGAUUUAUCUAUGUAUUUAAAACUAGCUGUGGACUUUAAAAACCAGUAGCUAGUUAACAAAAAAGCUGCUGUUUCUUGAUGCUUCUUCUGGGGCCACAACCAUUACUCCAUUUGUCCUCACGAUGGCCCUAGGUAGCUUAGCAGGUGUGCUUUGCUUUGUACCCAGUGCUCAGCUGCUGAGAAUUCUGGCCAUAAUGUCUCACAGAUUCCCACCCCCAGAAUUGCUCUUGGGAUGGAACCAUCUACAGUGCAGUGGUGGGAUUUAUGUUUCAGAGCGCUCCUGGGAGAGACCAAGACUAGACUUUACCUGAAACCCAGCGGUGCUGGCCUCUUUCCCUUCCCUGUUGGGUUUUUCUCAUAGGCUUCUCCUGAAGAACGUGCCUUGAGUAAGUAUUUCUAGAUUAUGUCCCUGUUUUAUCCACUCAAUAUUGUGUUACAGUGAUUUUCUUUUAGUUUCAUCUGUGUAAAUACAGUUAGGAAAAGAACUACAAGAAUCUAAUUUCUGAAAGUAGCUUUCUUUUUAGCCUAAUGUAUUAAAUAGGGGGAUAGUCAUUUGCAUUUUUAAAAAAAAAACUUUUUGUAGUUGUAGAUGGACAGAAUGCCUUUAUUUUAUUUGUUUAUUUUUAUUUUAUUUUAUUUUUUUAAAAUGUUUAUUUUUUAAUUUUUUUAGGUGGACACAAUAUCUUUAUUUUAUUGUUAUGUGAUGCUGAGAAUCGAACCCAGUGCCUCACGCAUGCUAGGCAAGUACUCUGCCACUGAGCUGCAGACCCAGCCCCAGUCAUUUACAUUUUUAUUAUUAUAAAUUAUAAAUAAGAAUAUAUUUAUGUAUAUUUAUGUAUUUUUUCCUGCAUUUCAGGGUUUUUUUCUUCUUUUUUUGAGAAGUCCAAGAAAUGGAGUACCUGGGUCACAGGUUCUAGUAAACAUUGCAAAUUUACUUUCAAAACAACUUUACCAAUUUAUGCUCCUAACCACAGAGCCAAUUUUGCAAUUUUGAGUCCUCCUGCCAGUAAUGAGAAUUAUUGAAAAUCGAAAAAAAAAAACAAAACCCAAGCCCCCUAAAUUCGAAGUGAGACAAGCUGCUCCAUUACUUUAUUUUGAUUUAUAGUAAAGAUGAUUUUUUUCCAUAUAUUUAUAAGUCAUUUGUGUUUCCCAUUUGGGGAGUUUCCUGUUUAUUUAGGACUUUAAUAAUAAAUUUGCUCAAAUUUUUAUGUCCAAUCUGGAAAAAUAUUAUCCUGGUUGUGGACUUGGUUACUAAGCCCUUAAUUUAGAGUUAUUUAUCCUGUCAUUUCUCCAGAACAUCUUCUACCUGCUCCUUGGCAGAGUGUAUGGGGGAAGAUCUGAGUCUGAGGAAGUUCUGUUAGUAAUUAACAUGACCAGAUUUACCUCCCUUGCCAGGGACAAGGUGGAACACCUCAAAGAGAGGAUUUCUAAACAUACAGUGCAAUGAGAUAAUUUAACAAAAUAUUUUAAAUGGACUGGAGGCAGAAAGGAAAACAACCUAGUGGAGCCAGAAAAUAUUCCCACAUUUAUGAGGAAGCACAAAGCACACUCAAAAAGAUGACAUGGUUCAAAAUAAGCACAAGAGUGAGGGCCUCAGGACCCAUGUACCUUGAAGGUACUUACAAACACAGACGCCCAUGUUAGGUUUGUUUCAGGUUUUGAAAGUGUUUGUCACUUGGUUGUUUACUUAUUUCGGAAAUAGAGUGACAAGAGAAAUAAAAUUGCAUAGAUAAUCAACACUGAAAGGCAAGUCAGCCUUUCAGCCAACUUAGAGUAGUGCUAUCGUUUGUCUAUUUUUAUGAUUAAAAACUUGGUGCUGACAAUUUUUCAAGAGACAAGAUUAAAUUCUGUAGUGAAAUUCUUCAAGCUUUGGCUCUAGCCAGGGGUGAACUUGAUUUGGGAAAAUCUGAGAAAAUAAGCUCCAUUAAUUCAGAGGUGUAGAAAGAAAGGAUCUUGAAAUACCCCUCACUUCUCCAGGCACAUUAUUGAACGUAGCACAUUCCUCACAGCAGCUGUUCCAAAUCUUUUCACUUUCCCCAAACCCUCCUAAGUUGUGUGGAGAAGACAGACCCUGGGUGACCCUCAUCAUCCAGGUUCCCCCUCAGCUCCCGACACCCCCAGCUUUCCUCCCACUCAAUUCUAAGUUGUUUUAAGAUAGUCAAUCAACUUUCUUGGCUUUAGAUUCCCCUUCUGCUAACAUAAAGCAGAGUGCCUUAUUCAUGGGAAUAGUUCACUAAUUAAGACUUUAAAAUGAGUGAUUGAGCAAAAUCAACCUCACAGGGAUUCCAGAUUUUAUCUGCGGUCAGACUGACUAGAGCCAGUUGGCUUGGCUAAUGAACUGAGAAGGAGCAUGGCAGAGUGCCCCCUACAGCCCUGACUUUGAACCUGGCUCUACCAUUCAUUAACUGGGGGGGUGAUCUUGAAUAAACUGCUUAAUCUCUCUCGUCCUCCCUCCUCAUUCCUCAGAUGCUUUAUCUCUAAAAAUGAGGAUAAUAAAAAUUUUUGUCUCACGGAACACUUGGGAGGAUUAAAUAAAAGCAGAGACUUGGCACAGAAUGUGCCACUUAAUAAGUGCUCAAAGUAGCCAUAACACAUAUAUUUAUUGCCAUAAAUAAUCAGUUUGUAAACUGUCUUUGUAAUCUCUGUGUCAUAUGCAGCUGAAUCUCAGUUAAAAAAAAAAGGGAAAGUAAGGGUUGGGGAUAUAGUUAAGUGCCUUAAUUAAUGUGUAUAAGGUCAUGUGUUGGAUCCCCAGCAUUGCAAAAAAAAAAAGCAAAAAUACAAUAAGAAAAGAAAGAUGUUGAUGGUGAUGUGGUGGAAAUUGUCUGUCUCUGGUGUUAGGAAAUUUCCCCCUUCCCAUCUCACUGAGCUCCAGGAGACUAUGGUCUCUUUUUUUUUUUUUUUGUUUGUGCUGGGUACUGGGGAUUGAAUUCAGGGGCACUGGACUACUGAGCCACAUCCCCAGCCCUAUUUGUAUUUUAUUUAGAGACAGGGUCUCACUGAGUUGCUUAGUGCCUUGCUAAGUUGCUGAGGCUGGCUUUGAACUUGCAAUCCUCCUAUCGCAGCCUCCAGAGCUGCUGGGAUUACAGGUGUGUGCCACUGUGCCCGGGUCUCCUUUAAGCUCAUGCCUGCCAUGGGACUGGAUGCAUUUAAUGUCUGUGCAGCUGAGUUGCUUGAACCCUCCUCAUGCCCCUUCUCAUUGAAUAAACUCCUGACAAGCUGUUUUCUUCUGUACCUGUCUGAUCACGUCUUAGAAAUCACUUUUAUUUUGCAAACAAUAAAGCUUUCCCUUUGGCAUUCUUGUCAGAAUAUAAUCACAAAGAUUUUAAGGCAGAAUAAUUAAUAUGUAUUCAUUAUUCAUUAGUCUAUGCAGUAAAUGCAUAGAUAAUACACUAUUAUUAGAUGUGUAUUGUUUUCUUAAAGAGUACCAUGUUGUUUGUUUCCCCUUCUUAAUCCUUUAAACACCAGUCAACUCACCUGAGUUUAAUUUUCUAAAAUUAUGUCUGGCUGUGGCGACAUCUACUGGUAAAAUUGAGCUCUCAAGCAAGGGAAUUGUCGGCAUCUAGCCUCAAAGUUAUUUUGACCAUUCUCUUUUUCCCUAUAUGUAGUCUAGGCAGAGGUCCAACUCAACAUUGUUUGAUGAUGAGAAUUACUAAACCACUUCAUUAAAAAGUCUUUCCUGUUAAUGAUUUCUGAAUCUAAAAAUUUUUGUUUGAAAUACUACUACAAUCUUUGCUGGAAAGGAAAAAAAUAAACAGACCAAGGGCUGGGGCAGCCUUUAGAAAGGACCAUUUGUGAAAUAAUGCACAGAAUCUUGAAAAGCUAUUGCAUUAAAAUAACUUUUUUUUUUUUCAGAGCUGGGGAUGGAACCCUGGGUUGUCUCCUUAGCUGGUUUCUUUGCUGUUUUCUAAACCAAUCAUUGGUAAAAAGGAUUGGGAUUAGCAUGAUCAGUUUAUAGUCUAAUUAAAAUUCACCCCAAACAUGGUCCUUUCCCUAAGGUUGGGUUGGAGUUACCUUCCCAGAACACAUGGCCUGAGAACAAAAUUGGGGCUAUUCAAGUAAAGCAGAGGGGAGGAGGAUGGGUUUGCAAAAGCCUCCAAUAGUGUCUAUAACCAAGGGAAGGAAGGAAGGGAAUGGGAGGGGAGGAGUGAAAGGAAGGGAAAGGGAGGGGAGAGGAAAGGAGGGGAGGGGAGGGCAGAGAAGGGCAGGGUCAUUGGAAAAGAAAUUUGAAAAAGAAAUAUCUGGAAAAGGGAAGGUACUGGAGAAUGAGAUUGAUCAAGUUAUGUUGUAUGUACAUAUGAAUAUGGCAUAAUGUAUCCCAGUGGUAUGUAUAAUUAUAAUGCACUAAUUAAAAAUAAUAAAAAAUAUCUGAAGCAACUGAAAAAGAAGGGAAACUCCAGGCAGUUAGCUGACUUCAGGGUUUUGAAGGCCAAAUUCCCCAGAAAUGAGUGAGUCCAACUGAAUAUUAUCAACUUUUUAUUUUCUCCAUUAGAGGCUUUUUAAAAAAUCAACAACACUUAUAGUUAAUUUCUUGGCAGGGAGUUAUUUUGUUUUGUUUUUCGCAGUACUGGGCAUUGAAUAUAGAGGCACUUUACAACCGUACCACAUCCCAGUUCUUUUUAUUUUUUAUUUUGAGACAGGGCCUCUCUUAAGUUACCCAGGCUGGCCUUGAAUUUGCAAUCCUCCUUACUCAGCCUCUUAAGUAGCUGCUGGGAUAGCAGGCAUGUCACCACACCACACUAGCAAGAUUUUUUAAUAAAAAAAAUGUUCCUGCUGACUUCAUACAGAUUUUUUCUUUUCUUUCCUUCUUUUUUUUCCUAUCCAUAUUAUUUGAAAAAAAUAAUAAAAUCUGUAUAAGGUAAGUAUGUUAAUAAUAGCCUUGUGUUGAUGUUAAUUUCCUGGUUUUGCAAAUGUUACUGUGGUUAUUUGGGGGAAUAUUGUUUUAAAGGAAAUAUAUACUGCAGAAUUUUAGGGGUGUGAUAAUUAAUUUUAUGUGUCAAUGUGGCUAGGCUGUAACAACCAAUUGUUUGGUCAAACACUAAUUUACAUGUUCUUGAGAAGAUAUUUUUUAGAUGUGAUUGACAUUUAACUAAGUAGACUUUGAGAAAAGCAGAUUACCUUCCAUAAUUUGGAUGGGCCUCAUCCAAUCCAUUGAAUGCUUUGAGAACAAAGACUGAGGUUUCCCAAACAAGGAGGAAUUCUUAAAACUGACAUAGAAACUCUCCCUGCCCUGUGGAAUUCAGACCCCACUGCCACAUGAACUUGUACUUGAACUUCCAGCCUGCCCCACCCUGUUGUGUGAAUGUCAUAGAGUGGACUGACACAAGCCUGGAUAGUACAGCCUCAUAGGCACCUGUAGACUACAAACCUGUAUAUGUUACCAUACUGAGUACUACAGGAAAUCGUAACAGUGUUAUUCUAAACAGGGUUGUUUAUGCCAGCAAAAACCACAAACACAUGAAUAAUGCUUUGUGGUGUGAUGCCGCAGCUACGACCUCUGACAUCACUAGGCAACAGGAAUUUUUCAGCUCCAUUAGAAUCUUAAGGAACCACCCUGGUAUGUGUGUUCAGUCACUGACUGAAACAUGGUUAUUCUAUAGUGCAUGACUGUAGGUUUUGUUUCGCUGGAAAAUCCUGACUAACACAAGGAGUAAAGGUCAUCACGUUUUCAACUUACUCUCAAUGUUAACUUUUGGGGAAUCUGGGUGAAAGGUAAUGGGAACUCUUUGUACAACGCUUGCAAUGUUUUCUUUAAUUUUGAAAUCACAUCAAAAUAAAAAGUUAGAACGCAAGCAAAGUUUAUUCAAAAGUGAAUUUGACACACAGCUUUCCUGUCAUCCACAUGCAUAUAUACUUGGCUAAGUUUCCAAGGUAGCCAACAAAGUCCCAUUUAAUACAUAGUGUAGCUGAAAUACCGUGCCCUCCCAAGAGGAUUCAAGAGGAAGAACACGACUCUGUUUUAAUAGUGAUUCAAUCAAUUAAAUAAAAUUGAAUAGUCGAUUUUAAUUCUUUUCCUUGGAUGGAAAAAUGAUUGUACAGUUUUUAAUAUUCAACCACUAAUGUGAAAGAGUGGAGAAAACAACAGUUGGUGGGGUGAAGAAAGGAUGAAAAGCAUUAAAAAAGAAGAAAUAAGUGCUCAGGUGUACCUAGAGAGGAAGGAGGAGAGUUUGAGGAAGAAUUUGUUUGAUUUGAUUUAUUCAGAAGAAAUGUGAGGAGAUUUAUAUCCUGAGUGGAUGGAGCUGGGGUUAUAUCAGACAGAAACAAACUUGUCAUAUAUGAGUAAGGAAGGGCAUUUUAUUUUAUUUGUUACUAACACUUUUAAAAAGAAUACAACUAGAAGACCAAUAUAAAGUUGUUAAUUUUUACAUUUGCCAAGUGAAGCUUAAAAAAAUAGCACAUAGCCACUUAGCCACCCAAGCACUGACUACUCACAAUUACCGUCAUGUCAGAAAGAGUUAAACUAAAAAAUAGACACGGCAUAAUGUGAACAGAGUAAAUUGAUCAAAAUGUACUAAUUUCACCACAGAUUGUUUAUAUGACUCUGGAUUUGGGAGUGGGUCCUAGUUAAGCACAUAAAACAGUUAUGUGUCCCCCUGGCAGGCUGUGUGGAGCCCGGGGGGGGGGGGGUUGUCAAACACAAAGUUUGGAUGGAUGCCCAUCACCAGCUCCUCCGUUGUGGCCCUGGUUCUUCCUCAGACUCGUUUCCCUUUGUUCUCAGCAUUAAUCCAGGUGUGUCCUGAUCUGGCUGCAGGCUUCUGGUUUUUCCUCUCCUGAGGAAGUUUAUAGGUGGGACCUAUGGCAUCCACCUCCACUUGCACUUGUUUUAUUGAAAUUGCAUGUGUAUUUGCCGAGUUUAUGUUUUUUUUUUCCCUCUGUCUUUUGUUAAUUUUCAAACCCACUUAUCUCUUUCUGGUUCGUGUAGUUUCUUUUUUUAAAAAACAACAUUUAUUUUUUAGUUGUGGAUGGACACAAUACCUUUAUUUUCUUUUUAUGUGGUGCUGAGGAUCAAACCCAGUGCCUCAUGCAUGCUAGGCAAGCGCUCUACCUCUGAGCCACAACCCCAGUCCCUUUCCUCUGCUUUGGUCUCAUCUAUAACUCACUAUUGGUCCUCAAGGAUUUGUUUGGGUUGGAGAAUUUCAUCCGCACCUGUUUCUGCUUCUCUGAUUCAAUAUUAGGUGCCUCCUGCUUCACAGGAUGGUCGGUCUAGGUGCAGACUUCCUGGUGGGAAUAGAGCCACUUCCCUGAACUUCAUUUAGGCCCUUCUCUGAUCUGUGAUCUUUGGGGUGAAGUCCAAGGCAAUUCAUCUCCUUAUAUCUAUAAAAAAAAUACUAAAAAGAGCUGUGGGUCAAGCAGAACUGUGUGUGGUCCACCCUGGCCUGUUCUUUACUAGCUAUGUGACUUCACACAAAUCUCAAAAACUCUACUAAGCCUUAUCUUUCUCAUUUGUAACACAGGGAAGAUAAAAACCUUAAAAGGUUUCCCCAAGGAUAAAAUGAAAAGCUGUAUAAGGAACUUUGACAAUGUGCUGUCAUGUGGCAGGCUCAAAGAUGGUGCUGUUAUUGUAACUCUCAUUUCUUCUCUGCAUUUUCUAGAUUUGUGCUUCCAAACAUGGUAACUGCUACAUGUGGCCAUCAAGCAUUGGAAAUGUGGUUGGUCUCAAUUGAGACAAGCAGUCAACAUGACAUAUAGUCCAGACUUUGGAGGAUUAGUGUGACAAACAGGAUGUACAAUAUCUCACCACUAAUUUUUAUAUUGAUAACAUGUUAAAAUGGAUAACAUUGUGGACAUAUUGG